GACGAACGCUGGCGGCGUGCUUAACACAUGCAAGUCGAGCGAUGAAGUUUCCUUCGGGAAACGGAUUAGCGGCGGACGGGUGAGUAACACGUGGGUAACCUGCCUCAUAGAGGGGAAUAGCCUUCCGAAAGGAAGAUUAAUACCGCAUAAGAUUGUAAUGCCGCAUGGCAUAGCAAUUAAAGGAGCAAUCCGCUAUGAGAUGGACCCGCGUCGCAUUAGCUAGUUGGUGAGGUAACGGCUCACCAAGGCGACGAUGCGUAGCCGACCUGAGAGGGUGAUCGGCCACAUUGGGACUGAGACAUGGCCCAGACUCCUACGGGAGGCAGCAGUAGGGAAUUUUCGGCAAUGGGGGAAACCCUGACCGAGCAACGCCGCGUGGGGGAAGAAGGCCUUCGGGUCGUAAACCUCUGUCUUUGGGGACGAUAAUGACGGUACCCGAGGAGGAAGCCCCGGCUAACUACGUGCCAGCAGCCGCGGUAAUACGUAGGGGGCGAGCGUUGUCCGGAAUCACUGGGCGUAAAGGGCGUGUAGGCGGCCUGUUAAGUCAGGCGUGAAAACCCCGGGCUUAACCUGGGGACUGCGCUUGAAACUGGCGGGCUUGAGGGCAGGAGAGGAAAGUGGAGUUCCCGGUGUAGCGGUGAUAUGCGUAGAUACCGGGAGGAACACCAGUGGC
This 673-nucleotide ribosomal RNA is filed under the name uncultured bacterium. RNAcentral describes it as "bacterial SSU rRNA". It matches the Rfam family "Bacterial small subunit ribosomal RNA", at positions 28 to 716 of the family's 1533-position model. The record is from RNAcentral.